ACGAACGCUGGCGGCGUGCNUAAUACAUGCAAGUAGAACGCUGAGGAUUGGUGCUUGCACUAAUCCAAGGAGUUGCGAACGGGUGAGUAACGCGUAGGUAACCUACCUCAUAGCGGGGGAUAACUAUUGGAAACGAUAGCUAAUACCGCAUGACACUAGAGUACACAUGUACUCAAGUUAAAAGGAGCAAUUGCUUCACUAUGAGAUGGACCUGCGUUGUAUUAGCUAGUUGGUGAGGUAAAGGCUCACCAAGGCGACGAUACAUAGCCGACCUGAGAGGGUGAUCGGCCACACUGGGACUGAGACACGGCCCAGACUCCUACGGGAGGCAGCAGUAGGGAAUCUUCGGCAAUGGACGGAAGUCUGACCGAGCAACGCCGCGUGAGUGAAGAAGGUUUUCGGAUCGUAAAGCUCUGUUGUUAGAGAAGAACGGUAAUGGGAGUGGAAAAUCCAUUACGUGACGGUAACUAACCAGAAAGGGACGGCUAACUACGUGCCAGCAGCCGCGGUAAUACGUAGGUCUCGAGCGUUGUCCGGAUUUAUUGGGCGUAAAGCGAGCGCAGGCGGUUCUAUAAGUCUGAAGUAAAAGGCAGUGGCUCAACCAUUGUAUGCUUUGGAAACUGUAGAACUUGAGUGCAGAAGGGGAGAGUGGAAUUCCAUGUGUAGCGGUGAAAUGCGUAGAUAUAUGGAGGAACACCGGUGGCGAAAGCGGCUCUCUGGUCUGUAACUGACGCUGAGGCUCGAAAGCGUGGGGAGCAAACAGGAUUAGAUACCCUGGUAGUCCACGCCGUAAACGAUGAGUGCUAGGUGUUAGGCCCUUUCCGGGGCUUAGUGCCGCA
This 839-nucleotide ribosomal RNA is filed under the name Streptococcus iniae. RNAcentral's name for it is "bacterial SSU rRNA". It matches the Rfam family "Bacterial small subunit ribosomal RNA", at positions 29 to 850 of the family's 1533-position model. Lineage: Bacteria; Bacillati; Bacillota; Bacilli; Lactobacillales; Streptococcaceae. The record is from RNAcentral.